AAGUUAGGUGCAUCAAGGGCGAGGAUGGUAGAGUUCUGAUGGGAGAGUCUCAAGUCAAGCAGAGGUGGCAGGCGUACUUUCGAGACUUACUUAACGAGGAGGGGGAUCGUAACAUAGAGAGUUAGGUGCAUCAAGGGCGAGGAUGGUAGAGUUCUGAUGGGGGAGUCUCAAGUCAAGCAGAGGUGGCAGGCGUACUUUCGAGACUUACUUAACGAAGAGGGAGAUCGUAACAUAGAGCUAGGGAAGU
Molecule: long non-coding RNA, 247 nt
Filed under: Nicotiana benthamiana
Lineage: Eukaryota; Viridiplantae; Streptophyta; Magnoliopsida; Solanales; Solanaceae
Description: long non-coding RNA (NBEN_LNC027321)
Source: RNAcentral